UACGUAGGGGGCAAGCGUUGUCCGGAAUCAUUGGGCGUAAAGCGCGUGUAGGCGGCUCGAUAAGUCUGCUGUGAAAGUCCAGGGCUCAACCCUGGGAUGCCGGUGGAUACUGUCGAGCUCGAGUCCGGAAGAGGCGAGUGGAAUUCCUGGUGUAGCGGUGAAAUGCGCAGAUAUCAGGAAGAACACCUAUGGCGAAGGCAGCUCUCUGGGACGGUACUGACGCUGAGACGCGAAAGCGUGGGGAGCGAACAGG
This 253-nucleotide ribosomal RNA is filed under the name uncultured bacterium. RNAcentral describes it as "partial 16S ribosomal RNA". It matches the Rfam family "Bacterial small subunit ribosomal RNA", at positions 524 to 776 of the family's 1533-position model. The record is from RNAcentral.